AUUAUCAGUAUUUUGCACAGUUUUUGUUGGCAGAUUUCCGAAAGCAUUCGUUCUCAGACCAUCCGGUGGAAGCCCAAACAAUUCCCUGCCUCCAAAUUCACCCCCUCCAUUCGCACUUCGAUUGUUGUCUGUGGUCACCUCAUGAGAAUUGGAGAAACCAUUUUGACAUAGUGAGGUUUCUCUUCCUUCUGAUUGUUGACUACUAUCUUCUGAAUCUGAUGUGGAUGAGGAUUCCAGAUUUCCAUGGUUCGAAGAGGCUGUAUUGCUAUCUCCCUCACUAAGGCAUGAUGAACAAUUAUCAGAAUUUGAAGUGCUACCUAUGCUAGGAUCAGAAGCCCCACUCAAGACAGAGUUCUUUGCAAGACAUGAACCAAUUUCCUCAUAAGGAGUUUCUGUUGAGUAGCAAGGUUCCUUCACUACCACAUUGUGUCCAUUCUGGCAGCCUUUAUUUAUACUGAAGUUAGAGUUUCCUGAUUCCUCCAUGUUAUUCUCCUCAUUAUCAAUUUCACUAAAAUUUCCUGUAACUUCAGUAGAACACUUGUCACCAGGAAAAAACUUGAAUAUGUUACUAUCAGGUUCUAAUUCUUCAACCUUGAAAGCAGAUGACCUCAAGGUAACAUCACAGUCUGAGUUGCUCCGAGCAUACUUUUUGUGUGAUUCCAUAGGCUCCCAAACUUUCUUAGAAUGAAGCAAAUCUCUGCUAGAAGAAUUCUUUGUUGUGACGAUUUUGCUUUUGGGUCUUACACAACCUUCACGCAUGUAAUCUAGUUGCCCAUACUUGUUCCCACGAUAAAAUUGCUUGGACAUAUCCAGCGUAGAUUCUGACUUACCAACAGACUUGCUAUCUCGGCCAAUUCUUACUGCAGAAACAUGUGAUUCAACCUUCACCCUGUAUUCAUUUUUUUGGUGACAGCAACAAGAAUGGAAGUCAUAUCUGUCAUUCAUCCUGUUGUUAAGACAAUGAAACUUCUCAUUAAACUUAUGGCCACAAUUUCGACCAUUGGACUUCUGUCCAUUUAUCCUUGACUGCCUAUUCUUGGAGGAGUCUCAAAAUUGUCACUGUAAGGUCUCGACUCAGAUCUAUUAACUGUAGCCCCAUUUUCUGAAACAACUGCAAGUUGGCGUCUAUCAGACCACUUCAAAGAGGGAUCAAGUGGAACUUCUUUCCGAAAUUUCAAUAUCCGACGAGAAAAUUUUGAUUGUUCAAUCAUAAAAGAGUCUUUCACAUUAGUGACUUCUCCAUCAGGACUACCACAGGAGUUGUUUAGCAUUGCGGAAAUGGCAUACCCAUUUGAGAAUUGUUCUUGAAUAAUAGGAGAUCCAGGCCUGGACGGAGAAAUGUCACCAGUUUCACUAACUAAAUCCCUAAAGCUGACUGCAUUAUUAGGUUCCUCAUGAACACUUGCUGAUGUUUCAUCCUUUGAGACUUCAAGACAAUCAUUUGAUUCGGAGCACCUCUUUUCUUUAUCCCUUUCCUUCCCUUUUAACCUCUCCUUUCUUCGAAGCUUUUU
This 1511-nucleotide unclassified non-coding RNA is filed under the name Hevea brasiliensis (rubber tree). The record is from RNAcentral. Lineage: Eukaryota; Viridiplantae; Streptophyta; Magnoliopsida; Malpighiales; Euphorbiaceae.